CAAUAAAGGAAGAAAGUUCAAGCCACACGAAGCAAGAAGGAAAUCACGACCGAGGUAAAACUCAAGUUUAGGUGGUUAUGCUUCGCUUGGAUCGAACACACUUUGAACGCCGUUCAUGCGCUUCCGCAAAUUUUGUAUAACAUGUAAAAGGAUCAAAACACUUUUGUUAAAUGGUUUAUGUUUAGCAGUUGAAUCUUAAACUUAAACAUGUUUUGUUAUUUUGUAAAUUCUAGAAUGUAGUAUAACUUUAUUAUAAUUACGGUUAUGUUAUGUUUUA
Molecule: long non-coding RNA, 277 nt
Organism: Helianthus annuus (common sunflower)
Lineage: Eukaryota; Viridiplantae; Streptophyta; Magnoliopsida; Asterales; Asteraceae
Exons: 2
Source: RefSeq, a predicted model, not a curated record